AAACUGCUGUGAGGCCACAGCAGAAGCACUAAAGGUGUGGCCAUGUCAGAUUCCAGUGAAUCUGCAAAUUCUGCU
This 75-nucleotide ribozyme is filed under the name Crocodylus porosus (Australian saltwater crocodile). RNAcentral's name for it is "Mammalian CPEB3 ribozyme (ENSCPRG00005016160.1)". It matches the Rfam family "Mammalian CPEB3 ribozyme". From Rfam's summary of the family: The mammalian CPEB3 ribozyme is a self cleaving RNA located in the second intron of the CPEB3 gene which belongs to a family of genes regulating messenger RNA polyadenylation. Lineage: Eukaryota; Metazoa; Chordata; Crocodylia; Crocodylidae. The record is from Rfam by way of RNAcentral.